GCAUAUCAAUAAGCGGAGGAAAAGAAACCAACAGGGAUUGCCUCAGUAACGGCGAGUGAAGCGGCAAAAGCUCAAAUUUGAAAUCUGGCUCUUUCAGGGUCCGAGUUGUAAUUUGUAGAAGAUGUUUCGGGUGUGGCUCCGGUUUAAGUUCUUUGGAAUAUUACAUCAUAGAGGGUGAGAAUCCCGUAUGUGACCGGCAGCCUUCGUCCAUGUGAAACUCUUUCGACGAGUCGAGUUGUUUGGGAAUGCAGCUCAAAAUGGGAGGUAUAUUUCUUCUAAAGCUAAAUAUUGGCCAGAGACCGAUAGCGCACAAGUAGAGUGAUCGAAAGAUGAAAAGCACUUUGGAAAGAGAGUUAAACAGUACGUGAAAUUGUUGAAAGGGAAGCGCUUGCAACCAGACUUGCACGCAGUUGAUCAUCCGGUGUUCUCACCGGGGCACUCUGCUGCGUUCAGGCCAGCAUCGGUUUUGGUGGUUGGAUAAAGGCCUUGGGAAUGUGGCUUCCUUCGGGGAGUGUUAUAGCCCUCGGUGCAAUGCAGCCUACCGGGACCGAGGACCGCGCUUCGGCUAGGAUGCUGGCGUAAUGGUUGUAAGCGACCCGUCUUGAAACACGGACCAAGGAGUCUAACAUCUAUGCGAGUGUUUGGGUGUCAAACCCAUACGCGUAAUGAAAGUGAACGGAGGUGAGAACCCUUAAGGGUGCAUCAUCGACCGGUCCUGAUGUCUUCGGAUGGAUCUGAGUAAGAGCAUAGCUGUUGGGACCCGAAAGAUGGUGAACUAUGCGUGAAUAGGGUGAAGCCAGAGGAAACUCUGGUGGAGGCUCGCAGCGGUUCUGACGUGCAAAUCGAUCGUCAAAUUUGCGCAUAGGGGCGAAAGACUUAUCGAACCAUCUAGUAGCUGGUUCCUGCCGAAGUC
RNAcentral lists this ribosomal RNA (913 nucleotides) under Dactylaria dimorphospora. Its description in RNAcentral is "LSU rRNA". It matches the Rfam family "Eukaryotic large subunit ribosomal RNA", at positions 38 to 968 of the family's 3401-position model. Lineage: Eukaryota; Fungi; Ascomycota; Leotiomycetes; Helotiales. The record is from RNAcentral.